Long non-coding RNA from Oncorhynchus tshawytscha (Chinook salmon), 339 nucleotides. NCBI's taxonomy places the organism in Eukaryota, Metazoa, Chordata, Actinopteri, Salmoniformes, Salmonidae. The record is from Ensembl.
AGGGAAGUGGUGAGAGAAAGAGUGAAACAGACUGCCAGAGGAAGAGAGUGAAACAGACUGGAAGAGGAAGAGAGUGAAACAGACUGCCAGAGGAAGAGGGAGGGAAGUGGUGGGAGAAAGAGUGAAACAGACUGCCAGAGGAAGAGAGUGAAACAGACUGGAAGAGGAAGAGGAAGAGAGAGGGAAGUGGUGGGAGAAAGAGUGAAACAGACUGCCAGAGGAAGAGGAAGAGAGAGGGAAGUGGUGGGAGAAAGAGUGAAACAGACUGCCAGAGGAAGAGAAGGAAGGUGAAACAGACUGCCAGAGGAAGAGAGUGAAACAGACUGCCAGAGGAAGAGU